ACCCAUCACCCACACUGGGUUCCAUUUGCCUGCUCAACUAGGUUCAGAAAGAUGAAGAUAUUGCUGGCUCCAGUGAUCUGACAGGCUUCGCACCCCAGGAAAGCUCAAAACAGACGGGCAACACAGAAAUGUGCGCAUCUAGUUACAGGCCAGGCAGGAGGGUUUGAUGAACUCCUCUGUUGAAGAAUGAUGUUGGAGCCAGAGAGUCUAUGUAUGAAUUCUCUGUCACACUCCACUCCUCCAAAGGCUAGAGUGGACCGACUCUAGCAUCCUACAUCUAUUUCCACCCACUGACAAAGGGAUGAGGGGAGGCACACAUAUGCACAUUACUAAGUGUGAACAAAAUCAUGACAUCCCCCAAGCCAAGAGAUGGCAGAAUGACCUUUGUGGCCAGUGGUGGGUCAGAAAAGCCCCAAGCUUGUCUUGCUGGAAGCCGAAGAUGCCCCCGAAGACAUCCAGUCUACCAGGACCGUGAACUUCAAUGACGGGACAGUAAUUAUCGUGACUAAUUUGAAGAUGAUCAAAAGCAACCACCCUGUUUUUACACUAGCACUGUUGGUUUCUAAAUACACAGUCUGUGAGUCAAAAUUGAGCUUCAGUUUUGGCAGACUCUGGCUGCCAGUCUCCCUCAGUCCUUACCUGGCACAGCAUCCUCCCUCCCCCUCCCCGCCCUUCCCAGCUGACAUACUCUGCCUCCUACCCUAAAGUUUUUAGCCCAGGCCUGGUCUGGGCUUCCCGGUCUCCAGAAUCUGACUCUUGUAAAACCAUAGCCAUUUUGGCUACUGAUCCUUUUGGGGUUCUUGGCUUUUUGUUCUCUUGGCCCUUGGAUUCUCUCUUCUCUCCCCCUUCCCCUCAGUCUCUCUCUCUCUCUUUCUGUUUCUAGGGCCCAGUUUAGUCUGGACUUUUCCUGACGUUUCUUGUCAGUGC
Long non-coding RNA from Mus musculus (house mouse), 927 nucleotides. RefSeq annotates it as predicted gene, 42040. The record is from RefSeq and is a predicted model, not a curated record. Lineage: Eukaryota; Metazoa; Chordata; Mammalia; Rodentia; Muridae. The transcript has 3 exons.